Molecule: small RNA, 135 nt
Filed under: Arabidopsis thaliana (thale cress)
Lineage: Eukaryota; Viridiplantae; Streptophyta; Magnoliopsida; Brassicales; Brassicaceae
Description: ATSL296720
Source: RNAcentral
GAAGCUGCUGCAUCAUUCAGAACAUUCCUCAGUUCUUCAGCUCGUUGCAUAUCAUCAACACAUUCAUCAAACGCUCUUCCUCUAGGAGACAAAGAACCUGGCACAAUCAAUCACGGAUUAGAACAGAUCAGAACU